This 410-nucleotide ribosomal RNA is filed under the name uncultured bacterium. RNAcentral's name for it is "bacterial SSU rRNA". It matches the Rfam family "Bacterial small subunit ribosomal RNA", at positions 370 to 772 of the family's 1533-position model. The record is from RNAcentral.
AAUGGGCGCAAGCCUGAUCCAGCCAUGCCGCGUGCGGGAAGAAGGCCUUCGGGUUGUAAACCGCUUUUGUCAGGGAAGAAAUCUUCUGGGUUAAUACCUCGGGAGGAUGACGGUACCUGAAGAAUAAGCACCGGCUAACUACGUGCCAGCAGCCGCGGUAAUACGUAGGGUGCAAGCGUUAAUCGGAAUUACUGGGCGUAAAGCGUGCGCAGGCGGUUGUGCAAGACAGGUGUGAAAUCCCCGGGCUUAACCUGGGAACUGCACUUGUGACUGCACGGCUGGAGUACGGCAGAGGGGGAUGGAAUUCCGCGUGUAGCAGUGAAAUGCGUAGAUAUGCGGAGGAACACCGAUGGCGAAGGCAAUCCCCUGGGCCUGUACUGACGCUCAUGCACGAAAGCGUGGGGAGCAAA